GUAUGAAGAAAUGACUAAAAUAAAAGUUUUAGAUCUUGAUAAGUUAUUCAACUUUGUUGUUGAUGACUUUUUCAGUUGAUAUCAUUUAAUGUUGUUUGAAGUUGAUAUCAUUUAAGAUUGUUUGUUCUGCAAUGGAUAACAAUGGUGGGAGUUCUGUGCCAACAUCGUCAACAAGAUCAGGUCCUUUUGCUGAUAUAACUAAUGUAAUUGAUGCCAAUUUGACGAACAACCAUCCCGCUGCUAAUAAAAAUGGAACUAAUGUGCCAAAAGAUCGUGAGAAUUGCCAGCACAACAACUUGGACUGUACAGAUGUUACAAAACUAAGUGCGACUGAACUAAAAAGGAAGCGUGCUAGGGAGUGGUAUGCAUCAUUGACCAAAGAGCCAAAAGGAAGAUAGAAACAAGAAGGCACGAGAUAUCAGGAAGUGGAAGAACUUUGAAUCACAAGGUUUAAAUCUCUACUGCAGCAUAUCUAAACUCUAUGAACAGAAAAAUUCAUUAUUAAAUUAAUUAAACUUUCAGAUAAUGGGUCUCAAGCUGCGACAUCAAAAAAAUUUACUACUACGGCCUCAUCUGUUUCAGCUCCGUUUGGUGAUAUUAAAAAUGCAAGCACUGAAGAUCAAUCAGUAGGGGGCCGGUUGGAUGUUAAUGAUGCAGGCACUGAAAAUGUGGGUUCUAUUGUAACACCUGUGCGUCUACCAUUUACUAACAGUGCUGAUAUGUCCUACAGUACACCCAGCGAGUAUACCAUGCCUCUCCAGGCAGAAGAUGCUCAUGGAGAUGUCACUAAUCUCAGCGCGUCUGAACUAAAAAAGAAGCGUGAGAGUGGUACGCAUCAUUUACCAAAGAGCAAAAGGAAGAUAGAAACAGGAAGACACGCGAUGCCAGGAGGCGGAGGAAGGAUGAAUCUCAAGGUAAUGUGCCUAAAGCUACGACGUCAAAAUUUUCUACUCCUACUCCUAUGCUUGGAGAUAUUUCUAUUGUCACCGCUGGAGAUCCCGCAGGAAGGGAACAAUGGGUUAGUAAUGAUGAAUUAUUGGACACCCCUGCAACAAAGGGAACAGGUAAUGUAUAUCCUUACGUGCACUUGCAAUGAAUGGUUUCACAAUUGCAAUUGUUUAUAGUUCAAUGUACUAUGUUCAAACAGGAAGUGUAUCUCAA
Oryza sativa Japonica Group (Japanese rice) is the source of this 1161-nucleotide non-coding RNA. NCBI's taxonomy places the organism in Eukaryota, Viridiplantae, Streptophyta, Magnoliopsida, Poales, Poaceae. The record is from RefSeq and is a predicted model, not a curated record.